Molecule: ribosomal RNA, 1171 nt
Filed under: Capnocytophaga cynodegmi
Lineage: Bacteria; Pseudomonadati; Bacteroidota; Flavobacteriia; Flavobacteriales; Flavobacteriaceae
Description: bacterial SSU rRNA
Rfam family: Bacterial small subunit ribosomal RNA
Source: RNAcentral
GAUGAACGCUAGCGGCAGGCCUAACACAUGCAAGUCGAGGGGUAGAGUGCUUCGGCGCUUGAGACCGGCGUACGGGUGCGUAACGCGUGUACAAUCUACCUUUUGCUAAGGGAUAGCCCGAAGAAAUUUGGAUUAAUACCUUAUAGUAUUAUUGGAUGGCAUCAUUUAAUAAUUAAAGCUACGGUGGCAAAAGAUGAGUACGCGUCCCAUUAGCUAGUUGGAGUGGUAACGGCACACCAAGGCUACGAUGGGUAGGGGUUCUGAGAGGGAUGUCCCCCACACUGGUACUGAGACACGGACCAGACUCCUACGGGAGGCAGCAGUGAGGAAUAUUGGACAAUGGUCGGAAGACUGAUCCAGCCAUGCCGCGUGCAGGAUGACGGCCUUAUGGGUUGUAAACUGCUUUUGUAUGGAAAGAAUAAGAUUUACGUGUAGAUUGAUGACGGUACCAUACGAAUAAGCAUCGGCUAACUCCGUGCCAGCAGCCGCGGUAAUACGGAGGAUGCGAGCGUUAUCCGGAAUCAUUGGGUUUAAAGGGUCCGUAGGCGGGCUUAUAAGUCAGAGGUGAAAGCACUGAGCUCAACUGAGUAACUGCCUUUGAAACUGUAGGUCUUGAAUGGUUGUGAAGUAGCUGGAAUGUGUAGUGUAGCGGUGAAAUGCAUAGAUAUUACACAGAACACCGAUUGCGAAGGCAUGUUACUAACAACUUAUUGACGCUGAUGGACGAAAGCGUGGGGAGCGAACAGGAUUAGAUACCCUGGUAGUCCACGCUGUAAACGAUGGAUACUAGCUGUUUGGUAGUAAUAUUGAGUGGCUAAGCGAAAGUGAUAAGUAUCCCACCUGGGGAGUACGCACGCAAGUGUGAAACUCAAAGGAAUUGACGGGGGCCCGCACAAGCGGUGGAGCAUGUGGUUUAAUUCGAUGAUACGCGAGGAACCUUACCAAGGUUUAAAUGGGAAACGACGUAUCUAGAGAUAGAUAUUUCUUCGGACGUUUUUCAAGGUGCUGCAUGGUUGUCGUCAGCUCGUGCCGUGAGGUGUCAGGUUAAGUCCUAUAACGAGCGCAACCCCUGCUGUUAGUUGCUAGCGAGUGAAGUCGAGCACUCUAACGGGACUGCCGGUGCAAACCGUGAGGAAGGUGGGGAUGACGUCAAAUCAUCACGGCCCUUACA